GAAUGCUGACAUAAGUAACGAUAAAGCGGGUGAAAAGCCCGCUCGCCGGAAGACCAAGGGUUCCUGUCCAACGUUAAUCGGGGCAGGGUGAGUCGACCCCUAAGGCGAGGCCGAAAGGCGUAGUCGAUGGGAAACGGGUUAAUAUUCCCGUACUUGGUGUUACUGCGAAGGGGGGACGGAGAAGGCUAUGUUGGCCGGGCGACGGUUGUCCCGGUUUAAGCGUGUAGGUGUGUGUUCCAGGUAAAUCCGGUUCACUUUAACACUGAGGCGUGACGACGAGGCACUACGGUGCUGAAGCAACAAAUGCCCUGCUUCCAGGAAAAGCCUCUAAGCAUCAGGUAACAUCAAAUCGUACCCCAAACCGACACAGGUGGUCAGGUAGAGAAUACCAAGGCGCUUGAGAGAACUCGGGUGAAGGAACUAGGCAAAAUGGUGCCGUAACUUCGGGAGAAGGCACGCUGACACGUAGGUGAAGUGAUUUACUCAUGGAGCUGAAGUCAGUCGAAGAUACCAGCUGGCUGCAACUGUUUAUUAAAAACACAGCACUGUGCAAACACGAAAGUGGACGUAUACGGUGUGACGCCUGCCCGGUGCCGGAAGGUUAAUUGAUGGGGUCAGCGCAAGCGAAGCUCCUGAUCGAAGCCCCGGUAAACGGCGGCCGUAACUAUAACGGUCCUAAGGUAGCGAAAUUCCUUGUCGGGUAAGUUCCGACCUGCACGAAUGGCGUAAUGAUGGCCAGGCUGUCUCCACCCGAGACUCAGUGAAAUUGAACUCGCUGUGAAGAUGCAGUGUACCCGCGGCAAGACGGAAAGACCCCGUGAACCUUUACUAUAGCUUGACACUGAACAUUGAGCCUUGAUGUGUAGGAUAGGUGGGAGGCUUUGAAGUGUGGACGCCAGUCUGCAUGGAGCCGACCUUGAAAUACCACCCUUUAAUGUUUGAUGUUCUAACGUGGACCCGUUACCCGGGUUGCGGACAGUGUCUGGUGGGUAGUUUGACUGGGGCGGUCUCCUCCUAAAGAGUAACGGAGGAGCACGAAGGUUGGCUAAUCCUGGUCGGACAUCAGGAGGUUAGUGC
Molecule: ribosomal RNA, 1077 nt
Filed under: Salmonella enterica
Lineage: Bacteria; Pseudomonadati; Pseudomonadota; Gammaproteobacteria; Enterobacterales; Enterobacteriaceae
Also listed under: 1 other name
Description: partial 23S ribosomal RNA
Rfam family: Bacterial large subunit ribosomal RNA
Source: RNAcentral